Molecule: ribosomal RNA, 514 nt
Filed under: uncultured bacterium
Lineage: Bacteria
Description: bacterial SSU rRNA
Rfam family: Bacterial small subunit ribosomal RNA
Source: RNAcentral
GAUUAUGGCUCAGGAUGAACGCUAGCUACAGGCUUAACACAUGCAAGGUCGAGGGGCAGCAUGAGAUUAGCUUGCUAAUCUUGAUGGCGACCGGCGCACGGGUGAGUAACGCGUAUCCAACCUUCCCCCUACUCAGGCAUAGCCCGGUGAAAACCGGAUUAACUCCUGAUAGUUUCACUAGAUGGCAUCUGACGGUGAAUAAAGCUCAGCGGUAAGGGAUGGGGAUGCGUCUGAUUAGCUUGUUGGCGGGGUAACGGCCCACCAAGGCUACGAUCAGUAGGGGUUCUGAGAGGAAGGUCCCCCACAUUGGAACUGAGACACGGUCCAAACUCCUACGGGAGGCAGCAGUGAGGAAUAUUGGUCAAUGGGCGCGAGCCUGAACCAGCCAAGUAGCGUGCAGGACGACGGCCCUAUGGGUUGUAAACUGCUUUUGUGCGGGAAUAAAGUCAGGGACGUGUCCCUGUUUGCAUGUACCGCAAGAAUAAGGACCGGCUAAUUCCGUGCCAGCAGCGGC